Molecule: unclassified non-coding RNA, 219 nt
Filed under: Hevea brasiliensis (rubber tree)
Lineage: Eukaryota; Viridiplantae; Streptophyta; Magnoliopsida; Malpighiales; Euphorbiaceae
Source: RNAcentral
UAUAACUUUAUAUGGAGAAUAUCUAGAUGUAUUUAAGUUAUAAUGGAUUGUAUUUUAAAACUAUUUAAAUAUUGUAAAAAUCAAUAGACUGUGUUGAAAUAUUGAGACUGUGAAAUAGUUAAGAAUUUGCUAUUAUCAUAUUGAACUGUUUUUAAUAGGUUUGGAAGGAUAGUUUGUCCGAAAUACAGACAGCACCUUGCCAAAUUUUUAUUACUGUUU